RNAcentral lists this ribosomal RNA (322 nucleotides) under Caligus sp. Its description in RNAcentral is "partial large subunit ribosomal RNA". It matches the Rfam family "Eukaryotic large subunit ribosomal RNA", at positions 59 to 371 of the family's 3401-position model. Lineage: Eukaryota; Metazoa; Arthropoda; Copepoda; Siphonostomatoida; Caligidae. The record is from RNAcentral.
AAGAAAACAACUGUGAUACCCUUAGUAAUGGCGAAUGAACAGGGUAAAGCCCAUCACUGAACCGCCUGCCAUAUCGGUAGUGUGGAAUGUAGUGUUCGGGAUUGUCUUAUCAUGAUUUAGCAGCUUGUCUAAGUACACCUUGACUGGGGCCGCAUCUCAUAGAGGGUGAUAGGCCCGUAAGGCAGUUUGCUUUAAUAUGCUGACUUUUCCCUAGAGUCGAGUUGCUUGAAAGUGCAGCUCAAAGUGCGAGGUAAGCUCCUCGUAAGGCUAAAUAUCACCCCGAGACCGAUAGCAAACAAGUACCGUGGGGAAAGUUGAAAAG